Molecule: ribosomal RNA, 507 nt
Filed under: uncultured bacterium
Lineage: Bacteria
Description: bacterial SSU rRNA
Rfam family: Bacterial small subunit ribosomal RNA
Source: RNAcentral
GAUGAACGCUAGCGGCAGGCUUAAUACAUGCAAGUCGAGGGGCAGCGGGAGUAGCAAUACUUGCCGGCGACCGGCGCACGGGUGCGUAACACGUAUGUAAUCUGCCCAUCACAGGAGGAUAGCCCGGAGAAAUUCGGAUUAAUACUCCAUAAUAGAAGAUAAAGCAUUUUAUUUUCUUGAAAGUUCCGACGGUGAUGGAUGAACAUGCGACUGAUUAGUUUGUUGGUGAGGUAACGGCUCACCAAGACUACGAUCAGUAGGGGUACUGAGAGGUUAAACCCCCACACUGGUACUGAGACACGGACCAGACUCCUACGGGAGGCAGCAGUGGGGAAUAUUGGACAAUGGGGGCAACCCUGAUCCAGCGACGCCGCGUGUGUGAAGAAGGCCUGCGGGUUGUAAAGGCACUUUUAGUGGGGAGGAAGGUCUGCGACCUAACACGUCGUGGAAUUGACUUAACCCACAGAAAAAGCACCGGCUAACUCUGUGCCAGCAGCCGCGGUAAAG